Molecule: long non-coding RNA, 664 nt
Organism: Sorghum bicolor (sorghum)
Lineage: Eukaryota; Viridiplantae; Streptophyta; Magnoliopsida; Poales; Poaceae
Exons: 3
Source: RefSeq, a predicted model, not a curated record
CUUUGAUAUCGUCAUCAUCUUCUUUGCAAUUCCAGUUUGAUCCCCCUAAGGCUGGGGUUCCAAUGCAUCACAUAUUUGACCAUAAAUGUAGCGGAUAUAGAAUGGGUGGUGUCGUAAGAGUUCUUGCAAGUCGAAACUUUUGAAAACCUCAGUAAUGCUAUUGGAAUCUUGGUCAUCUCCACAGAAUAUUCAGCCUCAAGCAUUUUGCCUGUGUUUUUAAUAAUAUUCCUGUCCUUGCACAAAAAAACUUACUUUGACUGAUCUUCAGUUCAAAAUUGUGUUACACGCACUGCUCCUUGUGUAAAAGGAGACCAGCUAAGCACUCUCUUCGAGAAUUAAAAAAUGGGUUCCAAGACCUGAUGCUUGUGUUCAAGGAAACCAGCUACACGAAGGCUCACAUACCUUCCUUCCUAGGAUGCUGUGUCUGAAGGUAUGUUUUUGGGCAUGCUUGACCUUUUUGAUAGAAUUGAAACCACGACAGCUGCAGAUGGUGUCCUUAAAUAUGAAUUUUGGAAAGUACUUAAUCCAUCCCAAAUUAUAGAACGUUUGACUUUUUUGAUACCAAGUUUGACCAUUUGUCUUAUUCAAAAAUUUGUACAAAAUAUCACUUUUUUUGUCGUGGCUUGGUUUAUUAAUAAAAGUUGUACAUGUAUUACAAACUUGG